CAGUAGCCGCGGUAAGACAGAGGAUGCAAGCGUUAUCCGGAAUGAUUGGGCGUAAAGGGCUCGCAGGCGGUUUCUUAAGUCUGAUGUGAAAGCCCCCGGCUCAACCGGGGAGGGUCAUUGGAAACUGGGAAACUUGAGUGCAGAAGAGGAGAGUGGAAUUCCACGUGUAGCGGUGAAAUGCGUAGAGAUAUGGAGGAACACCAGUGGCGAAGGCGACUCUCUGGUCUGUAACUGACGCUGAGGAGCGAAAGCUAGGGGAGCAAAUGGGAUUAGAGACCCCGGUAGUCCCUGUCUCUUAUAC
This 301-nucleotide ribosomal RNA is filed under the name uncultured bacterium. RNAcentral describes it as "partial 16S ribosomal RNA". It matches the Rfam family "Bacterial small subunit ribosomal RNA", at positions 509 to 807 of the family's 1533-position model. The record is from RNAcentral.